AAAGUCGUAACAAGGUCUCCGUUGGUGAACCAGCGGAGGGAUCAUUAAAAGAAGCCGAAAGGCUACUUCAAACCAUCGCGAACUCAUCCAAGUUGCUUCGGCGGGAACCCGCGCCUCUCCGGAGGUUGUGGGACCGCCCGCCGGAGGUCACAAACUCUCAUGUAUUAUAGUGGCAUCUCUGAGUAAAACACAAAUAAGUUAAAACUUUCAACAACGGAUCUCUUGGUUCUG
This 231-nucleotide unclassified non-coding RNA is filed under the name fungal sp. RNAcentral's name for it is "partial contains small subunit ribosomal RNA, internal transcribed spacer 1, and 5.8S ribosomal RNA". The stretch from base 1 to 47 matches the Rfam family "Eukaryotic small subunit ribosomal RNA", at positions 1785 to 1831 of the family's 1831-position model. Lineage: Eukaryota; Fungi. The record is from RNAcentral. RNAcentral also lists the same sequence under 1 other name.